UGGCUCAGAACGAACGCUGGCCCCGUGCCUAACACAUGCAAGUGGAGCGACGAACCAGGCUUCGGCCUGGGGCAAAGCCCCGAACGGGUGAGUAACACGUGGGUAACCUGCCCCGAUGAUUGGGACAACCCGAGGAAACUCGGGCUAAUACCGAAUGUGCCCUCCGGCCAUAAGGCCGCUGGGGAAAGGAAGCUUCGGCCUCCGCAUCGGGAUGGGCCCGCGGCCCAUUAGCUUGUUGGUGAGGUAACGGCUUACCAAGGCGACGAUGGGUAGCUGGUCUGAGAGGACGAUCAGCCACACUGGGACUGAGACACGGCCCAGACUCCUACGGGAGGCAGCAGUGGG
This 345-nucleotide ribosomal RNA is filed under the name uncultured Solirubrobacterales bacterium. RNAcentral describes it as "bacterial SSU rRNA". It matches the Rfam family "Bacterial small subunit ribosomal RNA", at positions 20 to 358 of the family's 1533-position model. The record is from RNAcentral. Lineage: Bacteria; Bacillati; Actinomycetota; Thermoleophilia; Solirubrobacterales.